CUACUUUGUACAGCCGUACAGGCGAAUGAGAAUGGUGGCAGAACCUUGAACGAGUUCCUCAUGGCGGGGCACAUCCAUCACGAUCUAUACCUGCAACACAUGGAAGUACGGCAAGCAGAUGCAUCAAAGAAGCUCGAAAUGCUGCGUCUUUCACCGAACUCUACUUCCCAAAUCGGCCUAAUACCCCACGGCAUCGCAGGUUCGCAACAGCGCUUGAGCUCCCCUCGCAGUGCCGGCCAGCGCCUGCCUAACACGCGCGCAAUUCGCACCCGCGUAAUCCCCCACGCACGGCGAGCACAUGCGCUGAAUCGGCCACACGUUUUCUGCAUCCCAUGUUCGCUCAUGAGCGCGGCUUCGAUCCCUAUAUAUGUUCACGCACACACUGAACACCGGCGCCAACUCGAGAACUCUGAAGACUCAGCUCUCACCUCCUACGGGGUUCUACCUCUGCUUCUUCUGCUGCUCGAUCAGGAAGAGAGACAGACAGAGUGAAAGCGAGAGAGAUAUAUAUACGAUGAUGAUGGCAGCGCCGGCGAAGUCAAUCGGGAUGGCCGGGAAGAAG
This 562-nucleotide long non-coding RNA is filed under the name Setaria italica (foxtail millet). RNAcentral's name for it is "long non-coding RNA (SITA_LNC006508)". The record is from RNAcentral. Lineage: Eukaryota; Viridiplantae; Streptophyta; Magnoliopsida; Poales; Poaceae.